This 1365-nucleotide long non-coding RNA is filed under the name Mus musculus (house mouse). RNAcentral's name for it is "cytoplasmic endogenous regulator of oxidative phosphorylation 1 (Cerox1)". Lineage: Eukaryota; Metazoa; Chordata; Mammalia; Rodentia; Muridae. The record is from RNAcentral.
GACCCCGCUCCACCCUCCGUACCACGUGGGCCAGGCGCCCCGCAGCCUGAUCCCUCGGCUGAGGCGGGGUCAGAGGGCUAAGGGUGACUGACUGCCCAGUGCAUGGAUCUCAGCAGCACGGCUUGACUUUCGGGCGGCAGGCAAGGAUGCUAAUCCACAAGGUUCCUGAGUCCAACAUCCCUCCCUCCAAUGUGGGGCUCGAAUCCGCUAUUGCAACCAAACCCGGGUUCUGCCCGCAGGGUGGCGCAAUGACAAGAGCCACCAGGUGACCCUGGUAACUCCCGCACCUAGACCUACAGGAGCAGUUUUUCUGCAGCACCACAUCUGUAGCCCUGCAUGCCGCUGGCUCCAGUGUUGUGUGUGUGGUCAUGCUCCAUCCAGCCCAGCAGCAACUUUGGUGUUUGACACCCCUCGGGAGGCACCGCUUUGGAAGAGACUGGUAACAGCAGGGUGGGACCGGCUACUUAGCUGUUCUCAGUCUGAAAGGAUUCUGGAAAGGGGCUCUAUUUAACCCAAGCACUGGAGUCCAACACAGCCUCUGCCGUGUGACAGGUGUGUGCGGAGCCCAAGAUGUGUUGGGAACAGCUAUCGUUUCUACUGCUUUGUCCCAUGCCUCUGGAGCUCCUGGGUUCCUGAACUUCAAGCUGGGCCCCAUCCUUCACCCUAUCAGGGCCCUGGGUGGAGCUGACUUCCAACAGUAUACAGUGGGUCUUGGUACUUCCUCCUUGGCAUUCGACAGUUGGUGUUUUUGAAGUCAGAGCCAUCCUCAGUAGGCUCCUAGGGGAUCGUAAGCGGCUUUCUCUGGGUGGAAACCUACUCCAUGCAGCCUUCAGCAAAGGUACCAGCAUCUGUCACUGGGAUGGGGAAGUCCGGUGAUCGUGUCAGCAUGGGCUACGGUGGACGGGGAAAGGCUCGUUCUGACACUAGACACCUGGGUCUCUAGCCCUAUGCCUGGAUUUGUCUGGGGAACUCUGCACCACACUGAUCCUGGCUUUCCCCAUUACCUGCUCCAUGCCAGGAUCCUACGGCUGUUGAUCCCCUCGGAAGUGAGACAUAAUGUCCCGGAGCAGAUGCUGAUGGGGACUCACUGUUGGGCCACCUGAUUUCUGUGUUCAUCUUCCCAGGCUCCACCUUUCAGAUCCCAUCCCUGGUGUCUGCAGUUACAACUUUACUAACCAGAACUUUGUUUCCAGCUUACGCUGAAAAGCAAAGGGUGACUUAGAAUAAAAAUGUAACAAAUAGCCCCAUAGCCCAAACCUUUUCUGCCAUGAUUUACUGUACCAGAUACCUAUAAGUGUCCAGGGCAAAUUAAACACAUCAAUAAAUGGCUUUCUUGUGUCUGUCCUGCAAAAAAAAAAAAAAAAA